CAGUAGCCGCGGUAAAACCAGCAGCCCAAGUGGUGGUCGCGAUUAUUGGGCCUAAAGCGCUCGUAGCCGGGCCGGUAAGUCCCUUGUGAAAUCGGACGGCCUAACCGUUCGGCGUGCAAGGGAUACUGUCGGUCUUGAGGCCGGGAGACGUCCGAGGUACUCCGGGGGUAGCGGUGAAAUGUUCUGAUCCUCGGGGGACCACCGGUGGCGAAGGCGUUCGACGAGAACGGGCCUGACGGUGAGGGGCGAAGGCUAGGGGAGCAAACGGGAUUAGAUACCCGAGUAGUCCCUGUCUCUUAUA
Molecule: ribosomal RNA, 301 nt
Filed under: uncultured bacterium
Lineage: Bacteria
Description: partial 16S ribosomal RNA
Rfam family: Archaeal small subunit ribosomal RNA
Source: RNAcentral